AGAGUUUGAUCAUGGCUCAGAUUGAACGCUGGCGGCAGGCCUAACACAUGCAAGUCGAGCGGUAGCACAAGGAGCUUGCUCCUGGGUGACGAGCGGCGKWCGGGUGAGUAAUGUCUGGGAAACUGCCCGAUGGAGGGGGAUAACUACUGGAAACGGUAGCUAAUACCGCAUAACGUCUUCGGACCAAAGUGGGGGACCUUCGGGCCUCACACCAUCGGAUGUGCCCAGAUGGGAUUAGCUAGUAGGUGAGGUAAUGGCUCACCUAGGCGACGAUCCCUAGCUGGUCUGAGAGGAUGACCAGCCACACUGGAACUGAGACACGGUCCAGACUCCUACGGGAGGCAGCAGUGGGGAAUAUUGCACAAUGGGCGCAAGCYKGAUGCAGCCAUGCCGCGUGUGUGAAGAAGGCCUUCGGGUUGUAAAGCACUUUCAGCGAGGAGGAAGGGUUCGGUGUUAAUAGCACCGUUCAUUGACGUUACUCGCAGAAGAAGCACCGGCUAACUCCGUGCCAGCAGCCGCGGUAAU
This 525-nucleotide ribosomal RNA is filed under the name uncultured bacterium. Its description in RNAcentral is "bacterial SSU rRNA". It matches the Rfam family "Bacterial small subunit ribosomal RNA", at positions 8 to 524 of the family's 1533-position model. The record is from RNAcentral.